UCCUAGUGAUGAUAUGCAAUGGCACAAGAUCUUUGUCUUUACAUUCUUGGUUGUUGGCGAGUUUCAUGUAUCACAUUCCUUGUGUACCUAACACCACCACAACUCAAUGCAAGAUCAGAUCAUCCCAUUGGGAUCAAACCAAGAUUAUCCAUCCUGUUUGAUCACCAAUGCCACAAUAAUAUAGGAUACUUGAGACAAGCUAGACAAUCAAGACAAUCAAGCAAAGACAAUCAAUUCAGUUUUGUUUUCUUCUUUUUUUUUUAAAUGCAACAAUAGAUGAAUGCAUUAGGUUACACACUAACUAUAUGAAUGAAACAGAUUCAAUCCAAAUGGAACACAAGUCUAGAUGAUACUUAUGCAAUCAAGACGACAAGAGUGACUCAAUUCAUGCUUAUGCUCACUAGUUUUAUCAAAGCCAAUGAUUCAAGUAGCUUAGACAUACUACUAUUUGCUUAUAAUACAUCACUGAUGGAUUUAACUAUGGCAUAGCAACAAUCAGAACUGGACUGAGUCAAGACAAGCAGAUUUCAAUUUCUAACAAUGACAAUGCAAGUUCUAUACAGUUCUCUAAAUGCAAAGCUUAUAUCAGUACAUUUGCAAUUUAGGCUCAUUU
This 613-nucleotide long non-coding RNA is filed under the name Brassica rapa (field mustard). RNAcentral describes it as "long non-coding RNA (BRAP_LNC008762)". The record is from RNAcentral. Lineage: Eukaryota; Viridiplantae; Streptophyta; Magnoliopsida; Brassicales; Brassicaceae.